This 70-nucleotide ribosomal RNA is filed under the name Vibrio cholerae. Lineage: Bacteria; Pseudomonadati; Pseudomonadota; Gammaproteobacteria; Vibrionales; Vibrionaceae. The record is from RNAcentral. RNAcentral also lists the same sequence under 1 other name.
CUUGGCGACCAUAGCGUUUUGGACCCACCUGAUUCCAUCCCGAACUCAGAAGUGAAACGAAACAGCGUCG